CUUCCAGUUGUUAGACACUCCACUGGGACAUUCUAGCCCCUGUUUUCUGUAGCCACAGUGGCUGGAUACCAUGAUCUAUCUGUGUAUUAGUUCAUAUUCUCCAAGAAGCCGAUACCAAGACAAGAUGAAGUGUGCAAGUAUUUCAUUAGGGGACAUGCCUACAUGAAAGGAACUAGGAGGAAAAUGGAGUAGGCCAGGAGAGCAUUCAGUUUGUGAUGCAAAUUGACUUCCAGUGAAGGAGAGAGGAGGAAAAGAUGGAAGCUCCUAGACUGUCCUUCUGGCUUAGGAAGGUUUGGGAAAGCCACCAAGGGCAUCUUAGCCAAAGUCACCCAUCAAAAAGGUACUGUGUCUCUUAGGAAAGGACCUGCCUUAGAAUCCCCUCAGCCCCAAUCACAUUUAGCCAUUGGUAGAGAACAGCCUGUGGGAAAGGGGCCUUGGCACAUACCCACUGAUAGAUUUCAGAGUGCACUAGAUGGAGUUUCAGUCAAUUACAUCCCCUGGAGUCACAGGUGUGCCAGGUGCAUGCUCAUGACCUUCACAACUUGUCAGUUUGGACUUUCUUCCAGCACCCGAAGCUGGGUCUGUACCCCAAGGUGCUAGUCUCACUCUACAAACAUGCUGUUUUACCUUCAGGUCCCAGUCUCUCCUAGCCUGCUUUAUCCAGCUGGAAUCAACAGACAGCCAGGUCGGGCCUUAUCAUGAGCAGCGUUUUCAAGUGUGAAUUCCUUCCUGGCAUUUCUCCAGAAAUUUAUAUGGACUUCUAAAACCCGAAUUCCAAGAAAAAUUCAUUGAAACAUUGAGGGAAUGAGAAAAAAUGUUACAAUUCUCCUUGAAAAGUUAAAACUGAACAAUCAACACAAAGACAUAACUGGUUUGAUGGAAGCCACUGACAAAAAGUCAAAAGAGCAGGAAACUCUGACAUGGAGUCAAAGAUCAAGGCUGGAAUUUCCAGAACCAUGACAGGAGUACAGAACAGUGGUCAUGAGCUAAUCAGUCAGCCUUUCUUGCAGCUGUUGCCAUGUUAUAUGUGUGUGUUUGUUGCAGAUAAAGUAAAUAUUAAUAAGUUUAUAUGCAUAGUAUGCUUUAUAGAAAUCAUAUGAUUGCUCUUCCAAAAAAAAUAACAAGUUUUUUAAGCAAAAUAAGUCCUUUAACUGGCAGUUUCCACAUAUGACUCUGGGAAGUGAUGUUAAUUUUAUUAGGAGAUCUGAAUGUGAGGUUAUUCGUAUAUUACCCAAUAAUAUUUGUCAGCAUUUUUCAGUGUUUGAAUAUUUGUUAUAAAACAUAAUUCUUGGUAAAAAAAAAUAGUAAACUGAAAAUUCCUUUUUAUUACAUCAUUUUAAUGUCCAUAAUAAUAAGAUAUGAAGAAUGGUGGAAGUAUUUAAAGAAUAACAUAUGACUUAGAAUAAUUUGUGAAAUUUCCAAGAAUUCCAGUAUCUCAUUCCAAGUCUUGAAGACUAGAAAUACUGUGAGAUAAAGCUUGGGAAUUCUCCAGGAUUGAUUAGAGAAAUGAUGAUGACUAAAAUGAGACUGCUGUUUUCGCUUUUAUCCAAUCAGAACUCAAUCCUCUUAGCCAAUCUAAACUUUAAUCUCAGUGCUGUGAGCCUAAUUUAACUGCUUCUUCAGAAUAAGGAAAAUAAUUACACCAUGCAAAUUUCAAUUGUGAAUUUUCCCAACUUAGGAAAAGAUCAAUAGUUUUAAAUAUUUGUCCUCUAUAGGGCUUGGCAACAACAUGGCUAAAAAUAAAAGCGAUAUUACAACUAAAAAGAAAAACACACCACUAUAGCCAUGCUAUUGCUGCAGAAAUUUUCAUAUACUUGACCUCUGAUUAACAUGUCAUCUCUCUAAAGAGCUAUUCUCAAUUUUACUCCAGUGUCUUAGUCUGCACAGGCUGCCAUAACAAAAUACCAUGGACUAAGUGGCUUAAACAACAUAAGUCUAUUUCUCACAGCUCUAGAGGUUGGGGAGUUCAACAUCAAGGCACUGGCCAGUAGGGUUCCUGGUGUCUCUCUGAGGUCCUUUCUUAUAACAUCACUAAUUUCAUCAUGAGGGCCCUACUCUCAUGGCCUCACCUAACCCUAAUUAUCUCCCAAGGACGCCAUCUUAAAUACCAUCCUGUUGGGUUGUAGGGCUUCAACAUGAGAACCUGGGGUGGAGGACACAAACAUUUGGUUCAUAACAUCUGACAUGGCUUUCUUGAGACCAGAACCAGCUCAUGAAAAGAGUCCAAUCAGAUGAAAAUGCUAAAGCUUGGAGAGUUUGAACCCCUUGCCUGAGGUCCUCAAGUGGUGGAGCUGGAAUUCAAACCGCAGGCAUCCAACUCCAGAGUCCUCAGUCAUAACUGAUCUGUGAUAUUGACUCUAUUCUAAUAAACAACUUUAACAAAAUCUGUGAUAUUGACUCUCUUCUAAUAAACAACUUUAACUUUAUUCAUCUUAAUUACUGAAAAAAUAAUCACCAAACAUAGUACUCUAU
RNAcentral lists this long non-coding RNA (2472 nucleotides) under Homo sapiens (human). Its description in RNAcentral is "HSALNT0280152". The record is from RNAcentral. Lineage: Eukaryota; Metazoa; Chordata; Mammalia; Primates; Hominidae.